Molecule: ribosomal RNA, 442 nt
Filed under: uncultured bacterium
Lineage: Bacteria
Description: bacterial SSU rRNA
Rfam family: Bacterial small subunit ribosomal RNA
Source: RNAcentral
ACGAACGCUGGCGGCAUGCCUUACACAUGCAAGUCGAGCGCGAAAGUGUCUUCGGACAUUAGUAGAGUGGCAAACGGGUGAGUAACGCGUGGGAAUCUACCUUAUAGUACGGGAUAGCCUCGGGAAACUGGGAUUAAUUCCAUAUACGCCCUUCGGGGGAAAGAUUUAUCGCUAUAAGAUGAGCCCGCGUAAGAUUAGCUAGUUGGUGGGGUAAAAGCCUACCAAGGCAACGAUCUUUAGCUGGUCUGAGAGGACGAUCAGCCACAUUGGGACUGAGACACGGCCCAAACUCCUACGGGAGGCAGCAGUGGGGAAUAUUGGACAAUGGGCGAAAGCCUGAUCCAGCAAUGCCGCGUGAAUGAUGAAGGCCCUAGGGUUGUAAAGUUCUUUUAGUGGGGAAGAUAAUGACGGUACCCACAGAACAAGCACCGGCUACCUUCGU